AUGUAUUCACCCCCUCUGUUAUGAAGCCCAUAAAAAGCACUGGUGCAACCAAUUACCUCCAGAAGUCACAUAAUUAGUGAAAUGAUGUCCACCUGUGUGCAAGUGUCACAUGAUCUGUCAUUACAUUUACACACCUUUUUUGAAAGGCCCCAGAGGCUGCAACACUUAACCAAACACUGCCAUGACGACCAAGGAACUCUCCAAACAAGUAAGGCACAAUGUUGUUGAGAAGUACACAUCAGGGUUAGGUUAUAAAAAAAUAUCCAAAUCUUUGAUGAUCCCCAGGUGCACCAUCAAAUCUAUCAUAACCAAAUGGAAAGAACAUGGCACAACAGCAAACCUGCCAAGAGACGGCCGCCCACCAAAACUUACGGACCAGGCAAGGAGAUGCAUUAAUCAGAGAGGCAGCACAGAGACCUAAGGUAACCCUGGAGGAGCUGCAGAGUUCCACAGCAGAGACUGGAGUAUAAUAAGCCGUACAUAGGACGACAAUAAGCCGUACGCUCCAUAGAGUUGGGCUUUAUGGCAGAGUUGCUAGAAGAAAGCCAUUACUUUCAGCAAAAAACAAAAUGGCACGUUUUGAGUUUGCGAAAAGGCAUAUGGGAGACUCACAAAAUGUAUCGAGGAAGGUGCUCUGGUCUGAUGAGACUCACUAUGGGAGACUCAAAGAAAACGCUAUGUCUGGCGCAAACCCAACACAUCACCCAAAGAACACCAUCCCCACAGUGAAACAUGGUGGUGGCAGCAUCAUGAUGUGGGGAUGUUUUUCAGCAGCCCAAAAUGGGAAACUGGUCAGAGUUGAGGGAAAGAUGGAUUGUGCUAAAUACAGGGAAAUUCUUGAGCAAAGCCUGUACCACUCUGUUCGUGAUUUGAGGCUAGGACAGAGGUUCACCUUCCAGUAGGACAAUGACCCCAAACACACCGAUAAAGCAAAACUUGAGUGCUUUAAGGGGAAACAUGUAAAUGUAUUGGAAUGGUCUAGUCAAAGCCUAGACCUCAAUCCAAUAGAAAAUCUGUGAUCAGACUUAAAGAUUGCUGUUCACAAGCGCAAACCAUCCAACUUGAGUAAGCUGGAGCAGUUUUACAAGGAGGAAUGGGCAAAAAUCCCAGUGAUAAGAUGUGGCAAGCUCAUAGAGACUUAUCCAAAGCAACUUGGAGCUGUGAUUACCGCAAAAGGUGACUCUACAAAGUAUUGACUUUAGGGGGGUGAAUAGUUAUGCACAUUGACUUUUUCUGUUAUUUUGUCCUAUUUGUUGUUUUCUAC
This is a non-coding RNA of Pelobates cultripes (western spadefoot toad), 1264 nucleotides long. The record is from the annotation of a GenBank genome assembly. NCBI's taxonomy places the organism in Eukaryota, Metazoa, Chordata, Amphibia, Anura, Pelobatidae.